UUAAAGUUUUAUUUUGGCUUAGUAUUUUAGUUUGCUAUUUUUUUACAUGUUUGGCUUGAAUUACUUAAAUAGUGUUUUUUUGCAGUAUUUUGUAUUGAAUUUUCGUUUAUUUGAGAUUCAGAGAUUGGUUGUAGUUUUGACGAAGCUUGUGCCAGCAGUUGCGGUUAUACAAGCAAUGCGACUGAAAUUUAUUGGUGAAUAAUUAAUUGAUAAUUUUUAAUUUUAUGUUAAAUUUAUGGGGUGAAAUUUAAAAUUUGAUAAAAGUUUUAUUAUUGAUUAUGAAGUUGUUAAAGUCUGUUUUUAAACUAGGAUUAGAUACCCUAUUAUUCGGACUGUAAAUCUUUAUACCUGAUUAUUAGUAGUUUAUUUUCUUGAAAAUUAAAAAAUUUGGCGGUAUCUCAGUCUAUUCAGAGGAAUCUGUCCCGUUAUUGAUGGCCCACGUUUUGUUCUGCUUUUCCUUUUAGUUUGUAUAUCGUCGUGUUUGAAUAUUUCAGUAGAAUUAAAAUGUUCAAUUUGUUCAAUAAAAGCUGAUGUCAGAUCAAGGUGCAGCUUAUGGAGAAGAUGGAGAUGGAUUACUUUGAUCAUAUUUUUGGUUUGUUUUUCUUAAAUGUUAACAAUAAAUAGGAUUUGACAGUAAUAUUGUUUAGAUUAUCAGUGUGAUUGAGGCUCUGAGAUAUGCACAUAUUGCCCGUCGCUCUCAUUAAGGUGAGAUAAGUCGUAACAUAGUAGAUGUACUGGAAAGUGCUUCUAGAAAGAU
This 757-nucleotide non-coding RNA is filed under the name Ignelater luminosus. Lineage: Eukaryota; Metazoa; Arthropoda; Insecta; Coleoptera; Elateridae. The record is from RNAcentral.